CUUUACAUCCUGGGGGAGGGAAACAGCAGGGCUGCUCUGAAAUAGGGGUGUGGAGAUGGCAGCGGAGGCAGAACAUAACCCUUUUGGGCACCCACACUCCUGCCUGGAGCUCCACGUGCACCCUCGUGCUGUAAUCCCUGGGAGCACCUGCGUUUCACAGCUUUUAGGGUCCAUCCAUGUCCAGAACGUCUGAAGAAGAGGAUAAGGACCAGGAGGAUGCUGAGACCUGUAUAAGGGGAAGCAUCUCUGUAUUUGAACAAAGUUCUCCUUUUUUCAGCUGAACAGCAGGGGUCAGCAGUGUGGGUUGGUCACCUGAGCGCAUUUCCUCACAUCCUAGCAGGCUUGUUGAAGUUUGAGAGACUGGAAGUCAGAGCUCAGGGUGCGUGCAUGUUCGGGUCCUGGUGAGAGCCUCUUCCGGGUCGCAGACUGCGGACUUCCAGCCCUCACGGGGCAGAGCGCAUCGCUCAUGACGAAAGGGAGGCCCCAACAACAGACUAACAUUUACCUGACUCUCAGAAGACCUCCAAAUGUAGAGGUUGGCCAUCUGCAAACCAGGAAGCAGGCGGAGGGUUCCCGCCAGAGCCCAACCAUUCUGACACCUGACCUUGGACUUCCAGCCACCAGAACGGCACCACCUUAGGGGAUGUGACCUGCUCAGCUGGAUUCCUACGACACUCUGUAUCCUACGUGGCCUCUCUGAGCCCGGGUCGAAUCUCUCUAAUCUAGUUUACACUCUGCAGCCAAACGGAAUCAUGCCACUUCUCUGGACAAACCAAAGAUCCUGCAUGCUCUCGCACUUAAUUGUGCCAGCAUUAAUUCUUGCUCCCGCCCCCAUAACAGUCGCCACUUCAGUCCUGUGGAUCUCCUUACAGUUCUUUUGGGCCAUAUGCCUCCCAGUAAUGCCUCUGAAUGUUUGCCCAUUUUUUCUCUGUAUCUAAAACAUCCUUUCCAUUGCUCUUUACCUGGGUAAUUCCUUCCAAUUUCAGCUUAGUUGGUCUUCCUUUGGGAAGUAUUCUGUUUCCCAAGAUUUAAGCAGAUUCUUAUGGGAUCUCAUGGACCAUUGUAUUAAUCUUAUUGUAGGGCCACUUUAGAGUAUUAUACAUGACGGGUGCAUUUGUUCCCGCAUCCGUUAGAGCGUGAAUCCCUUAAAUGAAGGAGUAGUGUUUGGUGUCUGUUGUGGACACUUAAUUGAUAUUUGUUUAAUGAGAAAAAUCAAUAAAGUGAUGAGUGAAAAAAAUAUAAAAAUGUGCAAACCCAUACCUGCACUCUAGUGGCACGGUGACUAUAAUUCAUUCAGCUCAGCUCCUAUUCAAACAAACAAACUCCACAGCAUCACCGUUUUAAGGAAAAUAUGUUUGUAAGGUAUCUUGUAAGUAUUUUUAAGGCUUUAUAUACUAGAAGGUCAAGAAGUUUAUUUGUCCCCUGUGCUAACUCCAUUACCUUCUUGCAAAUCUAUUCUAUCCAUCAGUGUCUGCUGUUCAG
Long non-coding RNA from Hipposideros armiger (great roundleaf bat), 1482 nucleotides. RefSeq lists it as uncharacterized. Lineage: Eukaryota; Metazoa; Chordata; Mammalia; Chiroptera; Hipposideridae. The record is from RefSeq and is a predicted model, not a curated record. The transcript is spliced from 6 exons.